GCGUGUGUGAAGAAGGCCUGCGGGUUGUAAAGCACUUUCAGUAGAGAAGAAAAGCACAAGGUUAAUAACCUUGAGUCUUGACGUAACCUACAGAAGAAGCACCGGCUAACUCCGUGCCAGCAGCCGCGGUAAUACGGAGGGUGCAAGCGUUAAUCGGAAUUACUGGGCGUAAAGCGCGCGUAGGCGGUUUUGUAAGUCGAUUGUGAAAGCCCUGGGCUUAACCUGGGAAUUGCAUUCGAUACUGCAUGACUAGAGUAUGGUAGAGGGAAGUGGAAUUUCCGGUGUAGCGGUGAAAUGCGU
Molecule: ribosomal RNA, 300 nt
Filed under: uncultured bacterium
Lineage: Bacteria
Description: bacterial SSU rRNA
Rfam family: Bacterial small subunit ribosomal RNA
Source: RNAcentral